RNAcentral lists this ribosomal RNA (468 nucleotides) under uncultured bacterium. Its description in RNAcentral is "partial 16S ribosomal RNA". It matches the Rfam family "Bacterial small subunit ribosomal RNA", at positions 28 to 507 of the family's 1533-position model. The record is from RNAcentral.
GACGAACGCUGGCGGCGUGCUUAACACAUGCAAGUCGAACGGUAAGGCCUUGCUUUUGUGGGGUGCUCGAGUGUCGAAAGCGUGUGUAACAUGCGAGUAUCCUGCGCUCUACUCUGGGAUAUCUUCAGGAGACUCGGGCUAUUACCGGAUAUGCGCUCCUGCUCCAUGUUGGGGGUUGUAGAGUUUCGGCGGUUGGGGAUGGACUCGCGGCCUAUCAGCUUGUUGGUGGGGUAGUGGCUUACCAAGGCGUUGACGGGUAGCCGGCCUGAGAGGGUGACCGGCCACACUGGGACUGAGAUACGGCCCAGACUCCUACGGGAGGCAGCAGUGGGGAAUAUUGCACAAUGGGCGGAAGCCUGAUGCAGCGACGCCGCGUGAGGGAUGACGGCCUUCGGGUUGUAAACCGCUUUCAGCACUGAAGAAGCGAGAGUGACGGUAAUGGGUGAAGAAGCGCCGGCUAACUACGUG